GUGGCUGUAGCUCAGUUGGUUAGAGCGCCGGGUUGUGGUUCCGGAGGUCGUGGGUUCAAUUCCCAUCAGCCACCCCA
This 77-nucleotide transfer RNA is filed under the name Candidatus Saccharimonadota bacterium. RNAcentral's name for it is "tRNA-His". It matches the Rfam family "tRNA". From Rfam's summary of the family: Transfer RNA (tRNA) molecules are approximately 80 nucleotides in length. Their secondary structure includes four short double-helical elements and three loops (D, anti-codon, and T loops). Further hydrogen bonds mediate the characteristic L-shaped molecular structure. tRNAs have two regions of fundamental functional importance: the anti-codon, which is responsible for specific mRNA codon recognition, and the 3' end, to which the tRNAs corresponding amino acid is attached (by aminoacyl-tRNA synthetases). tRNAs cope with the degeneracy of the genetic code in two manners: having more than one tRNA (with a specific anti-codon) for a particular amino acid; and 'wobble' base-pairing, i.e. permitting non-standard base-pairing at the 3rd anti-codon position. The record is from RNAcentral. Lineage: Bacteria; Candidatus Saccharimonadota.